This is an RNA transcript of Rosa rugosa (rugosa rose), 1469 nucleotides long. It is a transcript of the gene named putative L-ascorbate peroxidase 6, with no coding region annotated. The transcript is spliced from 10 exons. The record is from RefSeq and is a predicted model, not a curated record. NCBI's taxonomy places the organism in Eukaryota, Viridiplantae, Streptophyta, Magnoliopsida, Rosales, Rosaceae.
CAUGUGAUUAGGGCCCUCGAUCUGCAACUAAAACCUCUCCUAAAAUUUGAAGCCCCACUUGAUUCCCAACCGUCCGUUAAAGAUGGCAUCAUCAUCAACUACCUCCACCGCCGUCUCCCUCCUCUGCUCCGCAACCUCUUCCUCCAGAUUUCCAUUCAGUACAACUCUUCCCGCCAAAUCCUCAUCAACGCUCAAUUUUCGCGCCAACUCUCUCCCCGCCACCCAUGCAGCUUCGUCUUCUUCAGGUAAAGAUGAGAUUUUGGGGAGAAGAGGACUGGUGUUCACACUCACAGCCACACUGCCAUUGCUUCUUCCUUUCUCGGAAUCCAUGGAGGCCUUUACAGCCAAGGCGGUGGAGCCAGAUACAAGUGUAUAUGAGGUUAUGAAGGAAGAGAUUAGGAAAGUUGUGUCUAAGGGCAAAGCUGCUGGUGUGCUUCGUUUUGUAUUUCAUGAUGCAGGGACCUUUCAAUUGGAUGACAAUUCGGGUGGCAUGAAUGGUUCAGUCAUAUAUGAACUCGAUAGACCCGAAAAUAAAGGUCUUAAAACUCCUUUUAAGAUUUUAGAGAAAGCAAAGACUGAGGUGGAUGCAGUACAACCAGUAUCGUGGGCAGACAUGAUUGCUGUGGCUGGAGCUGAAGCAGUUUCAGUAUGUGGAGGUCCGACUAUCCCAGUUGCAUUGGGCAGACUAGACUCAAAGGAGCCUGAUCCUGAAGGAAAACUUCCUGAAGAAACUCUUGAUGCUUAUGGUCUAAAGCAAAGCUUUCGAGCAAAAGGCUUAUCAACUCAAGAACUUGUUGCUCUGUCAGGUGCCCAUACUCUGGGAAAUAAAGGUUUCGGAAGCCCAACUGUUUUUGACAAUUCAUACUUCAAAGUUCUUCUUGAGGAAUCUGUGUCCUCAGGUAGUAUGUCAAGCAUGACUGGACUUCCUUCAGAUCGCGCACUUCCCAAGGAUGAUGAAUGCUUAAGGUCUAUUUCCUCUCAAAAAACUUUAAGAUAUGUGUUUUAAGCAAUUGAGCUAGUAGAAUCAGUUACUCAAACAAGAAUCAGUAAUUCGCCUCUGCCAAGAUUUAAGAUGGAUAAAAAAGUAUGCCGACAAUGAGAACAGUUUCUUUGAAGAUUUUGAAAAGGCUUACAUCAAGUUGGUCAAUUCAGGAGCAAGGUGGAAGAGCUUGUGAAUAUUUGCAGCAGCAGAUCAUGUUUUUGAUUGGGCCUGCAGCCUGCUUCUGCAGAAAUGAAUACAGUAAAGAGUUGAAGAAGUAUACCAAAUGCGCAACCAUGGCCUCCUAUAAACAGUUAAAAGUGAAAGCAGGCUCAGGGUUGGUUGGGCACUUAAAUCCUCAAUAUAGAUGAUUUGCUGCGAACAUUAAUCAUAUGUUUAGCGGAAAGAGUGGAAGGUCUGAUGACCCAGACAAGACUUUAUCUUAUAUAAUCAUUAUUAUCCAUCAAAUGAUUCAGGUUCUUAUGCGUAA